This 255-nucleotide ribosomal RNA is filed under the name uncultured Lactobacillus sp. RNAcentral describes it as "partial 16S ribosomal RNA". It matches the Rfam family "Bacterial small subunit ribosomal RNA", at positions 107 to 355 of the family's 1533-position model. Lineage: Bacteria; Bacillati; Bacillota; Bacilli; Lactobacillales; Lactobacillaceae. The record is from RNAcentral.
UGAGUAACGCGUGGGUAACCUGCCCUUAAGUCUGGGAUACCAUUUGGAAACAGAUGCUAAUACCGGAUAAAAGCUACUUUGCAUGAAAGAAGUUUAAAAGGCGGCGUAAGCUGUCGCUAAAGGAUGGACCUGCGAUGCAUUAGCUAGUUGGUAAGGUAACGGCUUACCAAGGCGAUGAUGCAUAGCCGAGUUGAGAGACUGAUCGGCCACAUUGGGACUGAGACACGGCCCAAACUCCUACGGGAGGCAGCAGCC